UACGUAGGGUGCAAGCGUUAUUCGGAAUUACUGGGCGUAAAGCGUGCGCAGGCGGUGAUGUAAGACAGGUGUGAAAUCCCCGGGCUUAACCUGGGAAUGGCAUUGGUGACUGUACGGCUAGAGUGUGUCAGAGGGGGGUAGAAUUCCUCGUGUAGCAGUGAAAUGCGUAGAGAUGUGGAGGAAUACCGAUGGCGAAGGCAGCCCCCUGGGAUAACACUGACGCUCAUGCACGAAAGCGUGGGGAGCAAACAGG
This 253-nucleotide ribosomal RNA is filed under the name uncultured bacterium. Its description in RNAcentral is "partial 16S ribosomal RNA". It matches the Rfam family "Bacterial small subunit ribosomal RNA", at positions 524 to 776 of the family's 1533-position model. The record is from RNAcentral.